UUCUUCACAGAUGGUUAGCCCUAGGAGGGGGACAGCAGUGAAUAAAAUACUUGGAGAUCUUUUGCUCUCACCACGUAGCAUGUGAGCUGACAAGGCUGGGCUUUGGUGUGUUUAAUUCCUGCUCAGGAUUAGAUCAGAGGGGUUGUCAGUCACUGAUGCCAUAAUUACUAGAUGAACCAGAACAGAGUGAGGGAGCCUUGUUGAGUUCUACCUUCCAGAAGCUGACAAUCAGAAGUGCCACCCUGGAGGUGGAAUCCAUAGCUUGGCGGAGACAAACAAAGAGAAUCCUGUAUGUGUA
Non-coding RNA from Monodelphis domestica (gray short-tailed opossum), 298 nucleotides. Lineage: Eukaryota; Metazoa; Chordata; Mammalia; Didelphimorphia; Didelphidae. The record is from RefSeq and is a predicted model, not a curated record.